AUACUUGGAUAGGAGAUGGGGGUUCCUGAAAGGAGGUGGGGUUAUUGGGCAGAACCCUUGACUUGUUUUGCAGAUUACUCAAAGAGAUGGUACUAGCUGGAGCCAACUACGGAAUUGCAACAGGAUCAAUCUGACCCUUGUGGAUCUUCUCUUUCUUUCUGUUAUCCACUGAGGAGUACUCCUGCUUAGGCCGAAUUCACAUUUCAUGUCAGAAGAACAGUACCUUGUUCAGUAAAUGGUUUGUCGUCAGAAGAUGGGAGUCCAAACAGGAUAUUUUUCACGCGAGGCCUAACUGGAGCCCUGUUCUUCUCAGGCUUGUGAUAUCGACAUGUAAUCCUGAAUGUCUGCUGUCGCCUCUGCUCCUACGUCCCUAAAAGGCUAAGCAGAUGCCCAGCAUCCCACAGCAUCCAAGAGAGACUUUUGUCUGAAGAAAGGAGGGAAAGUCACAGAACAAAGAAGUCACAGCCUGAAUUUGAAUCUGAACCAAUUCUUAAGCUUGAGGGGGUCUUUCUAUCUGAGGCAAGACUAGAACUGAAGAAACUGCAAUUGGAAACUACAAGUAUAGCUUCACUUAUGAGAUAAUUAACCAAAAAACUAUUUCUAGUCAUUUAUUUCAUGUUUGGUGCCAAUAAUUGAUUCUUUUCUAAGUAUGACUCUGGGUAAAUCACUCAUUCUUAUGCCAGGGCUUGAACGAUUUCUAAGGUACCUUCUCUUUAGAAUUAUUGCGAUGG
RNAcentral lists this long non-coding RNA (731 nucleotides) under Equus caballus (horse). Its description in RNAcentral is "lncRNA (ENSECAG00000048939.1)". Lineage: Eukaryota; Metazoa; Chordata; Mammalia; Perissodactyla; Equidae. The record is from RNAcentral.